UGUGGUGGAGAGCGUGAAACUCAAGCCAUUGUGCAAGCGCAUCAGUCUUCUCGAUUUCAUAACAACACCAUUGUAAUUUUAUGAGGCGAGGAAACGACCUUUCCGGCUGAUUUUUUUUUUAAACUGUUCCUUAUAAAAUACCGUUGCGGGAGACAGUUACACAUUUUGCAAUUUCGCUUUUGAAACUUGCUAAAAAUACGUUCAAAGACAAGAAAUUUUUUUUUUUUCAAUUUUUUCCAAAAAACGCUUGAUGAGACGAUAGAUUUACUUCUCCUGAUUACGAAAUUCAUAAUUAUUAUAUGUUUUUUUCAUUAUUGUGCCUGAAAAACGGGAAAAACUAUCUAGUAGUUCACCUACUUUCCGUUGGUGGCGCCGGUUUGUCUCCUGCGCACCCUUAAUAGGAUUGUUUAGUUAUUCGGGUAUAGUUAUAUUUUAUAGGUUAGGGUAUGGAUGGUGUCGCGGUUUCCUUGCUUGAUCGUUACACGUUUCAUGUUUUAUGUGUUUCGAUUGUUUUUUCGUCUGUCACCGUGAGAUGUCGUUUUCGAUACAUUUCUUCGUUCGUUCUAUAGGGUUUGACGUUCUAGGUUGGAUUGAAUCGACUAGGAUUGAGAUUAUUUAUCUGUUCGGUUUGUCGUGUCGAAAGGAGGAAGAUUUUGGUGGGUAGGAGUGCGAUGGGUUCUUCAUGCCACUAUAGCUUGUGUGCAUUUCUUCAUGAGAGGAUUCUCUGAAGGCUUGCUGUAGCGAGAGCAGAUAGAAUUUUUAUUUGCAUUGGGUACAGGGAGCUAAUUAGUUUCCUACGAUCUAGCACGCAGAGCAUAUUGGAAAGAUACUACGAAGGUUUGUUGUACAGGGAGCAGAGAGGAUUUUUGUUUGCAUGAGUGCGAAGGAUUAUUUAGGUUACUGGAGACUUGUACGCUGUACAUUCUGAGAAGAUACUCUACAGGUUUGCUGUGCACAGACCGGAAAGGACCUCUAUUCACAGGGGUACGAAGAGCUAGCUAGAUUUCCAAGAUUUUAUGUACGGUACAGUUUGAGAGGAUACACUAAAGAUUUGCUGUACAGGGUGUGGAGAGGAUUUAUUCGCAUGGAUAUGGAGAGCUGCUUAGGUUUUAUCAGUCUUGUAUGCAGUACAUUUCGAGUAGAUAUUCUAGUGGUAAGGCCCUAGUCGAUUAAGAUGGUCAAAACUGCCCUUAGAGCUUUUUCAAUGGCUCUUGAAUCAUUCGAAAGCUGACCAAGAAAAACCCCUCUGAGUAAAAUUUUAACCCUCUAGCUUGCCCGUGAGGGUAGUUACAGGGUAAAAUAGAUUUUACGCUUUUCGGCGCAUUUUCCGGUCUCAAAUGCAUUCUAAAAUUCUGAAAAAAAUCUGACACAUUUCGGAUCCUAAGGCGCAUUUUUGAGAAUAUUUUCAAAAGUUUUUGUUGCAAACUGUGGCCGUAAAAAAUGAAAAAAAUCGGAAAAACAUUUUUUUCUCAAAAAUAUGAAAACAUGCUAUUCUACUGUUUGGUUCCCUGAUAAUGUACAAUAGCAGGCAGUGUCGUCAAUUUUUUUUAAAUUUUUUGUUCGGCUGCUUCAUUGUCAAAAACAAUAAAUCUGAAUUUUUUCGAUGUUUUUGCUGCAAGGAAGAAAGUUAUACUUCUUGGCUUUGUCGUGGGCAUAUAUUAAGUAAUUUUUAGCGUUAUUACACUGAAACAAGCAAUUAUGUUACCUAAAAAAUGUGAUUUAAAAGAAAGAAAAAAUUAUAUUCUGUUGGAUAUAUACAGGAAUGUUCGCAUCGCUAACAAUAUCGCCGAUUGGCGUGGCGGUUAAGGCGUCAGACUAGAGAGCGGAUACUCUGGGGUUCGAAUCCUAUCGGUAGCAUUUUUUUUUUCUAUACGUCAAACUUCAUUUUUUUUUGCGUGACCUGCUAAUUACAGAAUUAUUUAUUUAUCAUAAAAGUAAAUAUUUGUAUGUAGUUGAUAGAAAUGGACUUAUCUUUUGUAAUUGUGGGCAGAAUGCUGCAGGAAUGCCGACCUCCUUCUUGAAUAUCAUUUUUGCCUGUAGCUUUCGGUUUUACCUAUCCUAGUAAUUGCAGAAUUAUUUAUAUUUUGCUCUAAAUGUAUACAUAUAUGAAGACUAGUUUAAAAAUACUUAUCGUUGUAUUCGUUGAUGGGUUAAGCCGAAAAUAAUGCGUUCCGGUUUUUAAUCUUCAUCACGGUCCUCAUUAAUUAUAGGCGUAACUUCAUUUUGAUUAAAAAUGGUGCUAAGUAUUUCAGAUGGCCGUAUAAUAGUAUGGAGUUAUCGAGCAUGGGAUAAAUAAUAAAUAAUAGCUGCUAUUCAUAUAGGUACAUGCAUUAUGCUGGAGUUUUCUAAUACUGUUUAUGUUCCAAAACUAUUUUUGUGUGUAUUUUACGUAAAAAUGUGACUUAAAUAUUUUUAAAACUCUAAAUAAAUAUUGUUAAACUUAUGUGAAUAAACCAUAUACAUAAUAAGAAAUAGAAAAAA
Long non-coding RNA from Hylaeus volcanicus, 2481 nucleotides. RefSeq lists it as uncharacterized. The record is from RefSeq and is a predicted model, not a curated record. The transcript has 6 exons. Lineage: Eukaryota; Metazoa; Arthropoda; Insecta; Hymenoptera; Colletidae.